RNAcentral lists this ribosomal RNA (1338 nucleotides) under Thermoanaerobacter pseudethanolicus ATCC 33223. Its description in RNAcentral is "bacterial LSU rRNA". It matches the Rfam family "Bacterial large subunit ribosomal RNA", at positions 1 to 1207 of the family's 2925-position model. Lineage: Bacteria; Bacillati; Bacillota; Clostridia; Thermoanaerobacterales; Thermoanaerobacteraceae. The record is from RNAcentral.
GGUCAAGUGAGGUAAGGGCAUAUGGUGGAUGCCUGGGCACUUGGAGCCGAAGAAGGACGCGGCAAGCGGCGAAACGCUCCGGGGAGCCGCAAGCGGGCGAAGAUCCGGAGGUCUCCGAAUGGGGGAACCCACUCGAGGUAAUACUCGAGUAUCCACUGAUGAACACAUAGUCAGUGGAGGGGAACCGCGCGAACUGAAACAUCUAAGUAGCGCGAGGAAAAGAAAGAAAAGAAUCGAUUCCCUAAGUAGCGGCGAGCGAAAGGGGAGGAGCCCAAACCCGGCACUCAAGUGGACAUGGAAUUAUAGGCAAAAAAGAUGAUAUAAUACGUGUCCACUUGAGUGCCGGGGGUUAGGGCCCACCGUAGAAGUGAGUGAGUACUCUAGGCGAACGGACCUGGAAAGGCCGGCCGGAGAAGGUGAAAGCCCUGUAGUCGAAAGGGGAAAGCUUGCUGGUGGGUACCAGAGUACCACGGGAUAGGCGACCCUGUGGGAAGGCGGGAGGACCACCUCCUAAGGCUAAAUACUCCCAAGUGACCGAUAGCGGAUAGUACCGUGAGGGAAAGGUGAAAAGAACCCCGGGAGGGGAGUGAAAGAGAACCUGAAACCAUAUGCCUACAAGCAGUCAGAGUCCGGCACUCAACCUAGUGUUUACUGGGUGAAUAGAGUAAGAGGGAUAGAAAGAGGUAGAAGUAGUUAAGAGAAGAGUAAGCACUAAGUUGAGUGCCGGAUGAUGGCGUACUUUUUGUAGAACGGGCCGGCGAGUUACGGUAGCAAGCGAGGUUAAGCGAAAAGCGGAGCCGAAGCGAAAGCGAGUCCGAAGAGGGCGGGAGUUUGCUGCCGUAGACCCGAAACCGUGCGACCUACCCAUGGCCAGGGUGAAGCCGGAGUAAGAUCUGGUGGAGGCCCGAACCACGUUGGCGUUGAAAAGCCAUGGGAUGAGCUGUGGGUAGAGGUGAAAUGCCAAUCGAGCACGGAGAUAGCUGGUUCUCCCCGAAAUAGCUUUAGGGCUAGCCUCAGGGUAGAACCUAUGGAGGUAGAGCACUGAAUGGGCUAGGGGCCAAGUAGGUUACCGAACCCUAUCAAACUCCGAAUGCCAUAGGGAGGAACCUGGGAGUCAGACUACGAGUGAUAAGAUCCGUAGUCGAGAGGGGAACAGCCCAGACCUCCAGCUAAGGUCCCGAAGGGCAUGUUAAGUGGUAAAGGAAGUGGGACUUCGGAGACAACCAGGAUGUUGGCUUAGAAGCAGCCAUACAUUUAAAGAGUGCGUAACAGCUCACUGGUCGAGAGGUCCUGCGCCGAAAAUGAACGGGGCUCAAACAUGCCACCGAAGCUGGGGCU